CCGUGACACGCGCGGCGGAGCCCACGGAGGCCGGGCGAGCGGGCGCCCCGCGGCGGAGGGAGCGGCAGCUGCAGCCCGGGGCGCGGGGACGGUGAGGCUCCCGGACUACAGACCCUUCCAGCCCAGCCAGCUCUCCAGCCCCCUGCACUGGGUCAUGAAGCCCUUCCCAGUUUACCUCCAAGCACAGAUGCUGUGCCGUAGGAGAACCUGCUUUAGACGUCAGGGUCACGGAAGGCCGCUUUGAGAGGAGACUGAUGUGGCUGAAACUGCAGGCGUCUGUAUUAAAGAGCAGAGCAGGUUAUGUGAAAGUCAGUUAACAUAUAGCGUGGAACCGGCUUCUGGGCUUUUUCUGAGAGAAAUCGGUAGCGGCGGGAAGAUCCUGAGCAGAGGACUGACUGCACCUGACAGGUUCUGACUGGGUCGUGCUGGCUGUUCUGUGGAGAAUCGCCGGAGGGGAAGCAAGGGAAGGGAACAAAGGACAAAGGAGAUCAGGGCGGUGCAGCUCAGCGUGGUAGCAGGUGGCAACAGUGAGGAGCGCGGCCCCUGGACGGAUGUUGGAGAUCCCAGGAGCAAGGGUGGGGGACAGAUCGAAGAGGAACAGAUCUGGUUUCUAUAUCCUCAGCUAAAGAUGAAGAAAGAACAGAAGCUGAAAGGAAAAGAAGGGAGAUAAGAGAUAAGUUUCUGUCCUUCCAGAGAAGUUUGAAACAGAUGGAUCCUGGAGGUGUUUUAGAAAGAGACCGCAUUCUUCCCAGUGGUUUUAUCAAGCUCUCUCUGCUUCUUCCCGUGGAUCCAGGGGAUAAGACAAAGGACAGCGCCCCCAAUCAGGGGAGGGACUCCAGCGAGGUAAAAUGCCACAUCAUAGGAGCCCAGCUUGUCACGAAGUAACCCUGGGAAGGGAAAAAACUGUCACGGAGAGAAGGAGUGUGGCUCUGUGGUCCCAGAUCAGUCACACAUUCCUUACAAAACAGGUCUGAAGUAUAAGCCUUUCCUGAUACGAGAAAGGAAGAAAACGUAGCUCUUUAGCCUUGUCACAGACUAUAGGCCUGUGGGUUUGUGUACCGAGAUAUUACAUGGAAAAAAAUAUUUGCAACCAA
This is a long non-coding RNA of Canis lupus familiaris (dog), 1094 nucleotides long. RefSeq lists it as uncharacterized. The record is from RefSeq and is a predicted model, not a curated record. The transcript has 6 exons. Lineage: Eukaryota; Metazoa; Chordata; Mammalia; Carnivora; Canidae.